GGAAAUUUCAACUUAAGUUUCAGCUUCUCUCAUUGCUCAUUUGGUGUAACUUGUCUAAGGACUUUCUUUGGAUGAUUCAUUGUUCAUGGAAAGCGAAUUGAGUUUGCUUUUGUUCUGUUCAUUGGCUGAAGUAUAUAGUAUACAUACUUGCAACCACCACCUGCAAUGAAUUAAGAACUUCCUUUAAUGCCAUGAAGGCAUUUUAGCAAGAGAACCAAGUUAAG
Molecule: unclassified non-coding RNA, 224 nt
Filed under: Hevea brasiliensis (rubber tree)
Lineage: Eukaryota; Viridiplantae; Streptophyta; Magnoliopsida; Malpighiales; Euphorbiaceae
Source: RNAcentral